AGAAGAAAAAUCUUAAAACGCAAACAAAACGAAUCAAACCACACACCACACAGAUUACCAUACUACUUCUCUCAGUAUAAUGGAAAUGUAAAUAUAAUAUUUUCCUAUAAACUGCUAUAACAAACAAAACUAAUGGAAAGUGAGCAUCUAGGUUUCUACAAAUUAAUACUUGAUUAACAAUGUUCUUAUUUUAAACUUCCAAUAGGAAACAUACAUUACAUUAUUGUAGAUUUACACAUAGUUAAAGAUAUAAUAUUUGAGUAUUUCAGUAGACAUCUUAAACAGUGUGAAUUUUUAACCGGAUUUUUGUGUCAAAAUUGUCGGUUAUUGAUUUGGGGAUGUACGACGGGCGGGUGGCAACCAAAUGUUGUCCGUGCAUUUACUCAUGAAGCGUUCAACCAAACCUUUUAAAAUUUUAAUAUGUUGUUACUGACAACAAAAUGGAGGUCAAGUUCAAUAAUAACGAUUUUGACUUUUACCGUUCAGCAGUUACGGUUCUUGAAAGUUUAAAAAAUGUUGUGUCCGUGCAUUUACUCAUGAACCGUUCAACCAAACCUUUUAAAAUUUUAAUAUGUUGUUACUGACAACAUAACGAAGGUCAAGUUCAAUAAUGACGAUUUUUACUUUUACCGUUCAGGAGUUACGGUUCUUGAAAGUUUAAAAAAUGUCGUGUCCGUGCAUUUACUCAUGAACCAGUAAACCAAACCUUUUAAAAUUUUAAUAUGUUAUUACUGACAACAUAACGAAGGUCAAGUUCAAUAAUGACGAUUUUUACUUUUACGUUCAGGAGUUACGGUUCUUGAAAGUUUAAAAAAUGUCGUGUCCGUGCAUUUACUCAUGAACCAGUAAACCAAACCUUUUAAAAUUUUAAUAUGUUGUUACUGACAACAAAAUGGAGGUCCAGUUCAAUAAUUACGAUUUUGACUUUUACCGUUCAGGAGUGACGGUUCUUGGAAGUUUAAAAAAUGUUGUGUCCGUGCAUUUACUCAUGAACCGUUCAACCAAACCUUUUAAAAUUUCCUAUUAGGAGUUUUGGUCCUUGUAAUAUUGAUAAAUGCCAGAACACAAAUAAAUGUUAAAGAAUCUGGUUUACUGUCAUUUUGACAGCUCUUGUUUUUUUGUAAUAUUGAGAUUUGUUUUUACAUAAAACAUAACAUUCCACUUUCAUUUGAGCCUGUUGUUUUGAUGUAAACAAGCCUAAGCUUGUUAUGGCCUAUUGAAUACAAGAUUAGUUUUGAUCACUCAAUCAUAGAGUGGGUUCUGUCAGUGUUACAUCUGUUCUAUUCAUUAGCUAAGGUGUUGUAUUGCAUAAAAACUUGCACUCAUAAAUCAUCUUCUGUCAAAGAUGCAGAACACUCUACAGGGGGCCUCUACUUUAUCAUAACUGAAAUGUUAUUUAAAACUUGGGAAAACAAUUGUAAAGUCUUUAAAUAUUUUGUAGAUUUUGGAAUGAUGGAAAAAGUAGUAAAGGAGCUGUUGGCAUAGACGACAAUAAUGUGAAAGAGUAAUUAACUUGAAAGACGAUAUUGAACAGAAACCACUUAAAUAUUUAAUUUAGAUGG
Molecule: long non-coding RNA, 1562 nt
Filed under: Mytilus galloprovincialis (Mediterranean mussel)
Lineage: Eukaryota; Metazoa; Mollusca; Bivalvia; Mytilida; Mytilidae
Source: RNAcentral